RNAcentral lists this ribosomal RNA (547 nucleotides) under uncultured bacterium. RNAcentral's name for it is "bacterial SSU rRNA". It matches the Rfam family "Bacterial small subunit ribosomal RNA", at positions 777 to 1313 of the family's 1533-position model. The record is from RNAcentral.
AAUAGAUACCCCGGUAGUCCACGCCGUAAACGGUGGGCACUAGGUGUGGGCGACAUUCCACGUCGUCCGUGCCGCAGCUAACGCAUUAAGUGCCCCGCCUGGGGAGUACGGCCGCAAGGCUAAAACUCAAAGGAAUUGACGGGGGCCCGCACAAGCGGCGGAGCAUGUGGCUUAAUUCGACGCAACGCGAAGAACCUUACCAAGGCUUGACAUACACCGGAAACGUCCAGAGAUGGGCGCCCCCUUGUGGUCGGUGUACAGGUGGUGCAUGGCUGUCGUCAGCUCGUGUCGUGAGAUGCUGGGUUAAGUCCCGCAACGAGCGCAACCCUUGUCCCGUGUUGCCAGCAGGCCCUUGUGGUGCUGGGGACUCACGGGAGACCGCCGGGGUCAACUCGGAGGAAGGUGGGGACGACGUCAAGUCAUCAUGCCCCUUAUGUCUUGGGCUGCACACGUGCUACAAUGGCCGGUACAAUGAGCUGCGAUACCGCGAGGUGGAGCGAAUCCUCAAAAACGCCGGUCUCAGGUUCGGAUUGGGGGUCUGCAACCG